UGCAGAAUCUAUCUACGAGCUUUACUCUGACCCAAGCCCAAUCUACGAAUCCGGCUCAGCUUGGAAAGAGGUCAUCUUAGCCCCUUCAAGGUCUGCCAUUCAAUUAGAGCUCAAAACGUCAAUUCAAAUGCUUGAAAUGCCACCGCCAUCAAGAAAGAGUUAGCUUGAAGAACCGAUGGAGUCUUUCAGAAUUUAGCCCCAAAUUUUAACUUGUGAUAUUUAAUUUGGAGAACUGUGUGUGCUUAUUCAACUGGACAUGGUUUUUGCUAACUUCAAAAACGGGAACAAAAUUACAGGAGAAACAGAGAUCAAAGCGAUUUCAUUCAACUAAAUUUGCACUCCAUUUAAUUUUUUUACUCAAAUCUACAUAGAAAAGCCUAAAGGACUAACCAACCACCCCAAAUUUACAAAUUCUACGCACGAAAACAGCUCGACAAAUACCCACGACUUCCCUACUUCUUCGCCUUCUUGACCGUCACUUUCUUGGCCGGUGAUUUAAUACUCUUUGGCUUUUUCGUUACUUUAACCGGCGUCUUCUUCUUAGAAACUGACCCCUUCUUUCCCGGCGAUUUCGCUGCCGUAAAUUUUGCGGCUUUCUUUCCUGGAGACUUCACGGCUGUAGUUUCCACCGCCUUCUUUGGCUUUGCCCCCGCUGCAGCCUUCUGCUUCCCUGCUGCGCCCCUAGGCUUAGCGGGAGCCUCAGUCUUCUCCUUCGGCUUGGCCGGUGCUUUAGCAUCUGAGACAGAAGUAGCUUUAGGAGGAAGCUUAAAGGAGUUCUUAACUUUAACAAGCUUGCCAUUAGCAACAAGUUUCUUCAGUUGAAUAAGCAAUAGCUUCUUGAAGUUAGCAGGCAAGUUAGGAUUUUGCUUCCCUUCUAUGAACUUGGCGAUCGCGACCUGACUCGACCCGGUUCUCUCUUUCAACGCCACAAUAGCCUCCUUUAUCAUCUAUCACCAAAAUUGUUUUAAAAGGAACAAAAGAUAAUAAGAUCAAAUCACGCACACCUACAUAUAAUAUAAAGAAAAUAAUCGAAAUGUACAUACCUCGCUGUAAGGAGGAUAGGCUCUGGGUUUCUUAGGAGCAGAGGAAGUUUUCUUAGAUUUUGGGUCCUUUGAAGCUUUGGCUUUGGCCUUCUCCGGAGCUUUGACGGCCAUGAUGGUGGCAGAGAAUUGAAGGAUAAAAGAAGUGAUAUUUCAGGGAUUUGAAAUUGGGAAAUAGAAGGUAAAAGAAAAUUUGGAAAUGAGAGUGAGUUUUCUGGGGACAAAAAUGAAGCGAUAUAUAAAGGAUCUGGAAAUGGGAAAGUCGAGCUUUGAUUGAUGGAAAUAGGUUUCACUCGGAUCGUGAAUUCGUGAUCCGUGGGAGAAGGAAUUCUCAGUGUGUGAGUCGUUGGAUUGGAA
RNAcentral lists this unclassified non-coding RNA (1397 nucleotides) under Hevea brasiliensis (rubber tree). The record is from RNAcentral. Lineage: Eukaryota; Viridiplantae; Streptophyta; Magnoliopsida; Malpighiales; Euphorbiaceae.